CACUCUAACGGCGUACCUUUUGCAUGAUGGGUCAGCGAGAAAGACGGAAGAGCUUUGCUUAAGCCGAUAGGUGUAGGCGCUUGCUAGCAGUCUUCUUUCUUCUAGUUCUUCCUAAGAGACCCGAAACUGAUCGAUCUAGCCAUCAGCAGGCUGAAGAUUGCUCUAACAGGCGUCGGAAGGCCGAACUCACGUAUGUGGCAAAAUGCGGGGAUGACUCGUGGCUAGGGGUGAAAGGCCAAUCAAGAUCAGAGAUAGCUGGUUUUCCACGAAAUCUAUUUCAGUAGAGCGUACAAGUCAAUGGCCCGGGGUAGAGCACUGAGUGGUCUAGGGGGCUUAACCGUUUUCCAAACCCAAGUAGGCUCCGAAUACGGGUAAUAUCUCGCUUGUACAGACAGACUGUGGGUGCUAAGAUCAAGAGUCAAGAGGGAAAGAGCCCAGAUCGUACGCUAAGGUCCCAAAGCAAGAACUUAGUGGAAAAGGAUGUCAUUGAGCUGCAAUAACCAGGAGGUAGGCUUGGAAGCAGCCAUCCUUCAUUUAGAAAGCGUAGCAGCUCACUGGUCGAGCUUGACAGCACCUAAAAUGUAUGGGGGCUUACGUGAUUCACCGAAGCGACGAGACAUGAUAAGAGGAUGUCGGUAGUGGAACGUUCUGUCAAUUGUAGAAGGGCUCUGGUCACAUGACCUGGAAAGAUCAGAAGUGAGAAUGCUGACACGAGUAACUAUCAAUCCUGAGAAAACCAGGAUCGCCCGCCAGUAGUUGGUUUUCUGCGUUUCGUUAAUCUGCGCAGAGUGAAUCGGUC
Molecule: ribosomal RNA, 799 nt
Filed under: Pelargonium x hortorum (zonal geranium)
Lineage: Eukaryota; Viridiplantae; Streptophyta; Magnoliopsida; Geraniales; Geraniaceae
Description: LSU rRNA
Rfam family: Bacterial large subunit ribosomal RNA
Source: RNAcentral